AUUGAACGCUGGCGGCAGGCCUACCACAUGCCAGUCGAACGGUAACAGGAAGAAGCUUGCUUCUUUGCUGACGAGUGGCGAACGGGUGAGUAAUGUCUGGGAAACUGCCUGAUGGAGGGGGAUAACUACUGGAAACGGUAGCUAAUACCGCAUAACGUCGCAAGACCAAAAAGGGGGACCUUCGGGCCUCUUGCCAUCGGAUGUGCCCAGAUGGGAUUAGCUAGUAGGUGGGGUAACGGCUCACCUAGGCGACGAUCCCUAGCUGGUCUGAGAGGAUGACCAGCCACACUGGAACUGAGACACGGUCCAGACUCCUACGGGAGGCAGCAGUGGGGAAUAUUGCACAAUGGGCGCAAGCCUGAUGCAGCCAUACCGCGUGUAUGAAGAAGGCCUUCGGGUUGUAAAGUACUUUCAGCGGGGAGGAAGGAAGUAAAGUUAAUACCUUUGCUCAUUGACGUUACCCGCAGAAGAAGCACCGGCUAACUCCGUG
RNAcentral lists this ribosomal RNA (490 nucleotides) under uncultured bacterium. RNAcentral's name for it is "partial 16S ribosomal RNA". It matches the Rfam family "Bacterial small subunit ribosomal RNA", at positions 30 to 507 of the family's 1533-position model. The record is from RNAcentral.